RNAcentral lists this unclassified non-coding RNA (324 nucleotides) under soil metagenome. RNAcentral's name for it is "partial contains 5.8S ribosomal RNA, internal transcribed spacer 2, and large subunit ribosomal RNA". The stretch from base 1 to 120 matches the Rfam family "5.8S ribosomal RNA", at positions 35 to 154 of the family's 154-position model. The record is from RNAcentral.
GAUGAAGAACGCAGCGAAAUGCGAUAAGUAGUGUGAAUUGCAGAAUUCAGUGAAUCAUCGAAUCUUUGAACGCACAUUGCGCCCCUUGGUAUUCCAUGGGGCAUGCCUGUUCGAGCGUCAUUUGUACCUUCAAGCUUUGCUUGGUGUUGGGUGUUUGUCCUGAGGGACUCGCCUUAAAGUAAUUGGCAGCCAGUGUUUUGGUUUUGAAGCGCAGCACAAGUCGCGAUUCAACGCUAUACGCCAGCUUCCACAAGCCUUUUUCACUUUUGACCUCGGAUCAGGUAGGGAUACCCGCUGAACUUAAGCAUAUCAAUAAGCGGAGGA